Molecule: transfer RNA, 72 nt
Filed under: Camelus bactrianus (Bactrian camel)
Lineage: Eukaryota; Metazoa; Chordata; Mammalia; Artiodactyla; Camelidae
Also listed under: 2 other names
Rfam family: tRNA
About the family: Transfer RNA (tRNA) molecules are approximately 80 nucleotides in length. Their secondary structure includes four short double-helical elements and three loops (D, anti-codon, and T loops).
Source: Rfam by way of RNAcentral
GAGGGGAUAGCUCAGUGGUGCAGCAUGUGCUUAGUAUACACGAGGUCCUAGGUUCAAUCCCCAGUACCUCCA